CAAUCUGCCUAUCAAUUGGUUCUCCAUCAUACGGACUAGUCAACAUAUUAAAAAUUGUAACGGCAGACUCAACAUACAAAGUAAAGAACGUCUCAGAAUUUAAGACAAGAAUUAAUGAGACAUACAUUUGCGACGAUGAAAGAUUGAUAUCAUUUGACGUAGUUUCGUUUUUCCAAGUAUUCCAAUAGAAUUGGCACUUGGCACUAUCAGGGAAAAUGGAACAAAAUAAAAGCGCACACUAACAUUCCAAAAUUAACAUUCAUGGAAAUAGAACGUUCUUGUAUGAAAGAGAACAGAUUUUAAAUACAAGGACAACAUAUACACACAACUGAAAGUAAUGCCUAUGGAAUCACCAUUGCACAGUGGUUGCGCUUGUAUGGGGAGAGCGGCCAAAAAUACUUCUAGUGGAGAUAAAAUUAUGAAAUUUUUUCCAAAAUUCUAUAAAAAUAUAAUGAGUAAUAUAGCAUUUUCUUCUUGAAGUAUUUUUCUUCGCUAAGGAACAAUUGUGUUGUUUCUUUUUCGAAUUGGAACCUUAUUCGUCUGCAGUAGCGUGUAGAUGACGGUCGAGGAUUUUUCCAAAUUAAUUUGCGGUUUCUAGGAUCUUCAUCUUUGGUUAUCAGUUGCAGUGGGACAUAAGAGAACUGCCAUCAAAGCCCCAUUUCCCAAUUAAAGUUAAAUCGUAACCAUCAAUGGAGUCAAGAACAUCUGCUUGAAGUUGGACAAUUCGCGAUGCCGUGUGAUCUACCAAGCUCUGCAGUUCAACUUCAGCUUGCGAAUCACUGACAUUGAUGUUUACAGGAUAACUUGCUGCUUUGGCUGCCAGAAGUUUUUCGUAACUUGGGAGUAAAUUAUACGACGUUUUAGUAUUAAUAAAACUUCGUAUUGUCAAAUACUGUUGUUUACUCAA
This is a long non-coding RNA of Drosophila willistoni, 907 nucleotides long. RefSeq lists it as uncharacterized. The transcript has 2 exons. Lineage: Eukaryota; Metazoa; Arthropoda; Insecta; Diptera; Drosophilidae. The record is from RefSeq and is a predicted model, not a curated record.